CUUGACCGAACCCAGCCACAGCGGCUUGUCCUCCGGCCGCCCCUGCCCGUAGGUGGCGAUGAUGGCCUGCGCCUC
This 75-nucleotide antisense RNA is filed under the name Streptomyces sp. Tu 6176. Its description in RNAcentral is "Aspks sRNA". It matches the Rfam family "ASpks TB sRNA". The record is from RNAcentral. Lineage: Bacteria; Bacillati; Actinomycetota; Actinomycetes; Kitasatosporales; Streptomycetaceae.